This 253-nucleotide ribosomal RNA is filed under the name uncultured bacterium. Its description in RNAcentral is "partial 16S ribosomal RNA". It matches the Rfam family "Bacterial small subunit ribosomal RNA", at positions 524 to 776 of the family's 1533-position model. RNAcentral also lists the same sequence under 1 other name. The record is from RNAcentral.
UACGGAGGGUGCAAGCGUUAUCCGGAUUCACUGGGUUUAAAGGGUGCGUAGGCGGCUUUUUAAGUCAGUGGUGAAAGACAACAGCUCAACUGUUGCAGUGCCAUUGAUACUGAAGAGCUUGAGUACAGAUGAGGUAGGCGGAAUUUAUGGUGUAGCGGUGAAAUGCAUAGAUACCAUAAAGAACACCUAUUGCGAAGGCAGCUUACUAAGCUGUAACUGACGCUGAGGCACGAAAGUGUGGGGAUCAAACAGG